AUUGAACGCUGGCGGCAUGCCUUACACAUGCAAGUCGAACGGCAGCACGGGAGCAAUCCUGGUGGCGAGUGGCGAACGGGUGAGUAAUAUAUCGGAACGUGCCCAGUCUGGGGAUAACGUAGCGAAAGCUACGCUAAUACCGCAUACGAUCUAUGGAUGAAAGCGGGGGAUCGCAAGACCUCGCGCGAUUGGAGCGGCCGAUAUCAGAUUAGGUAGUUGGUGAGGUUAAAGGCUUCACCAAGCCGACGAUCUGUAGCUGGUCUGAGAGGACGACCAGCCACAAUGGGACUGAGACACGGCCCAGACUCCUACGGGAGGCAGCA
RNAcentral lists this ribosomal RNA (323 nucleotides) under uncultured bacterium. RNAcentral's name for it is "bacterial SSU rRNA". It matches the Rfam family "Bacterial small subunit ribosomal RNA", at positions 30 to 353 of the family's 1533-position model. The record is from RNAcentral.